Molecule: ribosomal RNA, 1528 nt
Filed under: metagenome
Description: bacterial SSU rRNA
Rfam family: Bacterial small subunit ribosomal RNA
Source: RNAcentral
AGAGUUUGAUCCUGGCUCAGGAUGAACGCUGGCGGCGUGCCUAACACAUGCAAGUCGAACGGAGUUAUGAUGUGAGCGGGAAGCUGAAGAGAGGAGCUUGCUCUUCUUGGAUGAGUUGCGAACGGGUGAGUAACGCGUAGGUAACCUGCCUUGUAGCGGGGGAUAACUAUUGGAAACGAUAGCUAAUACCGCAUAACAAUGGAUGACCCAUGUCAUUUAUUUGAAAGGGGCAAAUGCUCCACUACAAGAUGGACCUGCGUUGUAUUAGCUAGUAGGUGAGGUAACGGCUCACCUAGGCGACGAUACAUAGCCGACCUGAGAGGGUGAUCGGCCACACUGGGACUGAGACACGGCCCAGACUCCUACGGGAGGCAGCAGUAGGGAAUCUUCGGCAAUGGGGGCAACCCUGACCGAGCAACGCCGCGUGAGUGAAGAAGGUUUUCGGAUCGUAAAGCUCUGUUGUAAGUCAAGAACGAGUGUGAGGGUGGAAAGUUCACACUGUGACGGUAGCUUACCAGAAAGGGACGGCUAACUACGUGCCAGCAGCCGCGGUAAUACGUAGGUCCCGAGCGUUGUCCGGAUUUAUUGGGCGUAAAGCGAGCGCAGGCGGUUUGAUAAGUCUGAAGUUAAAGGCUGUGGCUCAACCAUAGUUCGCUUUGGAAACUGUCAAACUUGAGUGCAGAAGGGGAGAGUGGAAUUCCAUGUGUAGCGGUGAAAUGCGUAGAUAUAUGGAGGAACACCGGUGGCGAAAGCGGCUCUCUGGUCUGUAACUGACGCUGAGGCUCGAAAGCGUGGGGAGCGAACAGGAUUAGAUACCCUGGUAGUCCACGCCGUAAACGAUGAGUGCUAGGUGUUGGAUCCUUUCCGGGAUUCAGUGCCGCAGCUAACGCAUUAAGCACUCCGCCUGGGGAGUACGACCGCAAGGUUGAAACUCAAAGGAAUUGACGGGGGCCCGCACAAGCGGUGGAGCAUGUGGUUUAAUUCGAAGCAACGCGAAGAACCUUACCAGGUCUUGACAUCCCUAUGCUAUUUCUAGAGAUAGAAAGUUACUUUGGUACAUCGGUGACAGGUGGUGCAUGGUUGUCGUCAGCUCGUGUCGUGAGAUGUUGGGUUAAGUCCUGCAACGAGCGCAACCCCUAUUGUUAGUUGCCAUCAUUCAGUUGGGCACUCUAGCGAGACUGCCGGUAAUAAACCGGAGGAAGGUGGGGAUGACGUCAAAUCAUCAUGCCCCUUAUGACCUGGGCCACACACGUGCUACAAUGGUUGGUACAACGAGUUGCGAGUCGGUGACGGCAAGCUAAUCUCUUAAAGCCAAUCUCAGUUCGGAUUGUAGGCUGCAACUCGCCUACAUGAAGUCGGAAUCGCUAGUAAUCGCGGAUCAGCACGCCGCGGUGAAUACGUUCCCGGGCCUUGUACACACCGCCCGUCACACCACGAGAGUUUGUAACACCCGAAGUCGGUGAGGUAACCUUUUGGAGCCAGCCGCCUAAGGUGGGAUAGAUGAUUGGGGUGAAGUCGUAACAAGGUA